AAUACAGCAUGUAGGCUAUAGCAGCAUGGAGGCGACAAAGCAGCAAGGAGGUGUCGUAUGAUCAUUUAAACGAGUCUUAUGACAAGUUUGGCGAGGAUGG
This is a long non-coding RNA of Etheostoma spectabile (orangethroat darter), 100 nucleotides long. RefSeq lists it as uncharacterized. NCBI's taxonomy places the organism in Eukaryota, Metazoa, Chordata, Actinopteri, Perciformes, Percidae. The record is from RefSeq and is a predicted model, not a curated record. The transcript has 3 exons.